AGAACGAACGCUGGCGGCAGGCUUAACACAUGCAAGUCGAGCGCACCGCAAGGUGAGCGGCAGACGGGUGAGUAACGCGUGGGAAUCUACCCAACCCUACGGAAUAACACAGGGAAACUUGUGCUAAAUACCGUAUACGCCCUACGGGGGAAAGAUUUAUCGGGGUUGGAUGAGCCCGCGUUGGAUUAGCUAGUUGGUGGGGUAAUGGCCUACCAAGGCGACGAUCCAUAGCUGGUCUGAGAGGAUGAUCAGCCACACUGGGACUGAGACACGGCCCAGACUCCUACGGGAGGCAGCAGUGGGGAAUAUUGGACAAUGGGCGAAAGCCUGAUCCAGCCAUGCCGCGUGAGUGAUGAAGGCCUUAGGGUUGUAAAGCUCUUUCAGUGGGGAAGAUAAUGACGGUACCCACAGAAGAAGCCCCGGCUAACUUCGCGCCAGCAGCCGC
Molecule: ribosomal RNA, 445 nt
Filed under: uncultured bacterium
Lineage: Bacteria
Description: SSU rRNA
Rfam family: Bacterial small subunit ribosomal RNA
Source: RNAcentral